AGUGAACGCUGGCGGUAGGCCUAACACAUGCAAGUCGAACGGCAGCACAGUAAGAGCUUGCUCUUACGGGUGGCGAGUGGCGGACGGGUGAGGAAUACAUCGGAAUCUACUUUUUCGUGGGGGAUAACGUAGGGAAACUUACGCUAAUACCGCAUACGACCUACGGGUGAAAGCAGGGGAUCUUCGGACCUUGCGCGAUUGAAUGAGCCGAUGUCGGAUUAGCUAGUUGGCGGGGUAAAGGCCCACCAAGGCGACGAUCCGUAGCUGGUCUGAGAGGAUGAUCAGCCACACUGGAACUGAGACACGGUCCAGACUCCUACGGGAGGCAGCAGUGGGGAAUAUUGGACUAAGGGCGCAAGCCUGAUCCAGCCAUACCGCGUGGGUGAAGAAGGCCUUCGGGUUGUAAAGCCCUUUUGUUGGGAAAGAAAAGCAGCAGGUUAAUACCCCGCUGUUCUGACGGUACCCAAAGAAUAAGCACCGGCUAACUUCGUG
RNAcentral lists this ribosomal RNA (492 nucleotides) under uncultured bacterium. RNAcentral's name for it is "partial 16S ribosomal RNA". It matches the Rfam family "Bacterial small subunit ribosomal RNA", at positions 29 to 507 of the family's 1533-position model. The record is from RNAcentral.